GACGAACGCUGGCGGCGUGCUUAACACAUGCAAGUCGAACGGAAAGGCCCUGCUUUUGUGGGGUGCUCGAGUGGCGAACGGGUGAGUAACACGUGAGUAACCUGCCCUUGACUUUGGGAUAACUUCAGGAAACUGGGGCUAAUACCGGAUAGGAGCUCCUGCUGCAUGGUGGGGGUUGGAAAGUUUCGGCGGUUGGAGAUGGACUCGCGGCUUAUCAGCUUGUUGGUGGGGUAGUGGCUUACCAAGGCUUUGACGGGUAGCCGGCCUGAGAGGGUGACCGGCCACAUUGGGACUGAGAUGCGGCGCAGACUCCUACGGGAGGCAGCAGUGGGGAAUAUUGCACAAUGGGCGGAAGCCUGAUGCAGCAACGCCGCGUGCGGGAUGACGGCCUUCGGGUUGUAAACCGCUUUCGCCUGUGACGAAGCGUGAGUGACGGUAAUGGGUAAAGAAGCACCGGCUAACUACGUG
Molecule: ribosomal RNA, 468 nt
Filed under: uncultured bacterium
Lineage: Bacteria
Description: partial 16S ribosomal RNA
Rfam family: Bacterial small subunit ribosomal RNA
Source: RNAcentral